ACAACUCAUGAACCCUGUGAACAUACCUAAAACGUUGCUUCGGCGGGAACAGACGGCCCCGUGAAACGGCCGGCCCCCGCGAGAGGACCCCCUAAUUCNGUUGCAAUAUGUAUCUUCUGAGUAAACAAGCAAAUAAAUUAAAACUUUCAACAACGGAUCUCUUGGCUCUGGCAUCGAUGAAGAACGCAGCGAAAUGCGAUAAGUAAUGUGAAUUGCAGAAUUCAGUGAAUCAUCGAAUCUUUGAACGCACAUUGCGCCCGCCAGUAUUCUGGCGGGCAUGCCUGUUCGAGCGUCAUUACAACCCUCAGGCCCCCGGGCCUGGCGUUGGGGAUCGGCGAGGCGCCCCCCUGCGGGCACGCGCCGUCCCCCAAAUACAGUGGCGGUCCCGCCGCAGCUUCCAUUGCGUAGUAGCUAACACCUCGCAACUGGAGAGCGGCGCGCCCAUGCCCGUAAACACCCAACUUCUGAAUG
RNAcentral lists this ribosomal RNA (471 nucleotides) under Fusarium solani. Its description in RNAcentral is "eukaryotic LSU rRNA". The stretch from base 142 to 295 matches the Rfam family "5.8S ribosomal RNA". Lineage: Eukaryota; Fungi; Ascomycota; Sordariomycetes; Hypocreales; Nectriaceae. The record is from RNAcentral.